CCUACGGGAGGCAGCAGUGAGGAAUAUUGGUCAAUGGGCGCGAGCCUGAACCAGCCAAGUCGCGUGAAGGAUGACUACCCUAUGGGUUGUAAACUUCUUUUAUCAAGGAGUAAAGUGAGGCACGUGUGCCUUUUUGUAUGUACUUUAUGAAUAAGCAUCGGCUAACUCCGUGCCAGCAGCCGCGGUAAUACGGAGGAUCCGAGCGUUAUCCGGAUUUAUUGGGUUUAAAGGGAGCGUAGGUGGAUUGUUAAGUCAGUUGUAAAAUUUUGGGGCUCAACCCUAACGUUCCGUUGAAUACGGCGUUCUUGAGUGAGCGAGAAGUAGGCGGAAUGCGAGGUGGAGCGGUGAAAUGCUUAAAUA
This 360-nucleotide ribosomal RNA is filed under the name uncultured bacterium. RNAcentral describes it as "partial 16S ribosomal RNA". It matches the Rfam family "Bacterial small subunit ribosomal RNA", at positions 338 to 696 of the family's 1533-position model. The record is from RNAcentral.